RNAcentral lists this unclassified non-coding RNA (343 nucleotides) under soil metagenome. RNAcentral's name for it is "partial contains 5.8S ribosomal RNA, internal transcribed spacer 2, and large subunit ribosomal RNA". The stretch from base 1 to 120 matches the Rfam family "5.8S ribosomal RNA", at positions 35 to 154 of the family's 154-position model. The record is from RNAcentral.
GAUGAAGAACGCAGCGAAAUGCGAUAAGUAAUGUGAAUUGCAGAAUUCAGUGAAUCAUCGAAUCUUUGAACGCACAUUGCGCCCGCUAGUAUUCUGGCGGGCAUGCCUGUCCGAGCGUCCUUUCAACCCUCAAGCCCCCGGGCUUGGUGUUGGGGAUCGGCGAGCCUCCGCGCCCGCCGUCCCCUAAAUCUAGUGGCGGUCUCGCUGUAGCUUCCUCUGCGUAGUAGCACACCUCGCACUGGGAAACAGCGCGGCCACGCCGUUAAACCCCCAACUUCUGAACGUUUGACCUCGGAUCAGGUAGGAAUACCCGCUGAACUUAAGCAUAUCAAUAAGCGGAGGA